AGAGUUAUAUUUAAUAACAUUUGGGUUGCAUUAAAAAAGUACUGAUAAAUUUUAAUUUACCUUA
This 64-nucleotide transfer RNA is filed under the name Bundoksia longissima. RNAcentral's name for it is "tRNA-Ala". The record is from RNAcentral. Lineage: Eukaryota; Metazoa; Arthropoda; Insecta; Blattodea; Blattidae.